UUAAGCGACUAAGCGUACACGGUGGAUGCCCUGGCAGUCAGAGGCGAUGAAGGACGUGCUAAUCUGCGAUAAGCGCCGGUAAGGUGAUAUGAACCGUUAUAACCGGCGAUUUCCGAAUGGGGAAACCCAGUGUGACUCGUCACACUAUCAUUAACUGAAUCCAUAGGUUAAUGAGGCGAACCGGGGGAACUGAAACAUCUAAGUACCCCGAGGAAAAGAAAUCAACCGAGAUUCCCCCAGUAGCGGCGAGCGAACGGGGAGGAGCCCAGAGCCUGAAUCAGCAUGUGUGUUAGUGGAAGCGUCUGGAAAGGCGCGCGAUACAGGGUGACAGCCCCGUACACAAAAGCGCAUGUGCUGUGAGCUCGAUGAGUAGGGCGGGACACGUGGUAUCCUGUCUGAAUAUGGGGGGACCAUCCUCCAAGGCUAAAUACUCCUGACUGACCGAUAGUGAACCAGUACCGUGAGGGAAAGGCGAAAAGAACCCCGGCGAGGGGAGUGAAAAAGAACCUGAAACCGUGUACGUACAAGCAGUGGGAGCCCCACCACUAAGCCAGUGGUGAACUCCACAUACGCAUCCUUUGCUGAGGAUACGGUUAACGGAGCGAAAGCGACGUUCAACCGCAAAAGAAGCAGAGGGGGCUUAGUGGUGGGGUGACUGCGUACCUUUUGUAUAAUGGGUCAGCGACUUAUAUUCUGUAGCAAGGUUAACCGUAUAGGGGAGCCGCAGGGAAACCGAGUCUUAACCGGGCGUUAAGUUGCAGGGUAUAGACCCGAAACCCGGUGAUCUAGCCAUGGGCAGGUUGAAGGUUGGGUAACACUAACUGGAGGACCGAACCGACUAAUGUUGAAAAAUUAGCGGAUGACCUGUGGCUGGGGGUGAAAGGCCAAUCAAACCGGGAGAUAGCUGGUUCUCCCCGAAAGCUAUUUAGGUAGCGCCUCGUGAAUUCAUCUCCGGGGGUAGAGCACUGUUUCGGCUAGGGGGCCAUCCCGGCUUACCAACCCGAUGCAAACUGCGAAUACCGGAGAAUGUUAUCACGGGAGACACACGGCGGGUGCUAACGUCCGUCGUGAAGAGGGAAACAACCCAGACCGCCAGCUAAGGUCCCAAAGUCAUGGUUAAGUGGGAAACGAUGUGGGAAGGCCCAGACAGCCAGGAUGUUGGCUUAGAAGCAGCCAUCAUUUAAAGAAAGCGUAAUAGCUCACUGGUCGAGUCGGCCUGCGCGGAAGAUGUAACGGGGCUAAACCAUGCACCGAAGCUGCGGCAGCGACACUAUGUGUUGUUGGGUAGGGGAGCGUUCUGUAAGCCUGUGAAGGUGGCCUGUGAGGGUUGCUGGAGGUAUCAGAAGUGCGAAUGCUGACAUAAGUAACGAUAAAGCGGGUGAAAAGCCCGCUCGCCGGAAGACCAAGGGUUCCUGUCCAACGUUAAUCGGGGCAGGGUGAGUCGACCCCUAAGGCGAGGCCGAAAGGCGUAGUCGAUGGGAAACGGGUUAAUAUUCCCGUACUUGGUGUUACUGCGAAGGGGGGACGGAGAAGGCUAUGUUGGCCGGGCGACGGUUGUCCCGGUUUAAGCGUGUAGGUGUGUGUUCCAGGUAAAUCCGGUUCACUUUAACACUGAGGCGUGACGACGAGGCACUACGGUGCUGAAGCAACAAAUGCCCUGCUUCCAGGAAAAGCCUCUAAGCAUCAGGUAACAUCAAAUCGUACCCCAAACCGACACAGGUGGUCAGGUAGAGAAUACCAAGGCGCUUGAGAGAACUCGGGUGAAGGAACUAGGCAAAAUGGUGCCGUAACUUCGGGAGAAGGCACGCUGACACGUAGGUGAAGUGAUUUACUCAUGGAGCUGAAGUCAGUCGAAGAUACCAGCUGGCUGCAACUGUUUAUUAAAAACACAGCACUGUGCAAACACGAAAGUGGACGUAUACGGUGUGACGCCUGCCCGGUGCCGGAAGGUUAAUUGAUGGGGUCAGCGCAAGCGAAGCUCCUGAUCGAAGCCCCGGUAAACGGCGGCCGUAACUAUAACGGUCCUAAGGUAGCGAAAUUCCUUGUCGGGUAAGUUCCGACCUGCACGAAUGGCGUAAUGAUGGCCAGGCUGUCUCCACCCGAGACUCAGUGAAAUUGAACUCGCUGUGAAGAUGCAGUGUACCCGCGGCAAGACGGAAAGACCCCGUGAACCUUUACUAUAGCUUGACACUGAACAUUGAGCCUUGAUGUGUAGGAUAGGUGGGAGGCUUUGAAGUGUGGACGCCAGUCUGCAUGGAGCCGACCUUGAAAUACCACCCUUUAAUGUUUGAUGUUCUAACGUGGACCCGUAAUCCGGGUUGCGGACAGUGUCUGGUGGGUAGUUUGACUGGGGCGGUCUCCUCCUAAAGAGUAACGGAGGAGCACGAAGGUUGGCUAAUCCUGGUCGGACAUCAGGAGGUUAGUGCAAUGGCAUAAGCCAGCUUGACUGCGAGCGUGACGGCGCGAGCAGGUGCGAAAGCAGGUCAUAGUGAUCCGGUGGUUCUGAAUGGAAGGGCCAUCGCUCAACGGAUAAAAGGUACUCCGGGGAUAACAGGCUGAUACCGCCCAAGAGUUCAUAUCGACGGCGGUGUUUGGCACCUCGAUGUCGGCUCAUCACAUCCUGGGGCUGAAGUAGGUCCCAAGGGUAUGGCUGUUCGCCAUUUAAAGUGGUACGCGAGCUGGGUUUAGAACGUCGUGAGACAGUUCGGUCCCUAUCUGCCGUGGGCGCUGGAGAACUGAGGGGGGCUGCUCCUAGUACGAGAGGACCGGAGUGGACGCAUCACUGGUGUUCGGGUUGUCAUGCCAAUGGCACUGCCCGGUAGCUAAAUGCGGAAGAGAUAAGUGCUGAAAGCAUCUAAGCACGAAACUUGCCCCGAGAUGAGUUCUCCCUGAGACUUAGAGUCUCCUGAAGGAACGUUGAAGACGACGACGUUGAUAGGCCGGGUGUGUAAGCGCAGCGAUGCGUUGAGCUAACCGGUACUAAUGAACCGUGAGGCUUAACCUU
This 3004-nucleotide ribosomal RNA is filed under the name Salmonella enterica subsp. enterica serovar Poona. RNAcentral describes it as "bacterial LSU rRNA". It matches the Rfam family "Bacterial large subunit ribosomal RNA". The record is from RNAcentral. Lineage: Bacteria; Pseudomonadati; Pseudomonadota; Gammaproteobacteria; Enterobacterales; Enterobacteriaceae.